RNAcentral lists this ribosomal RNA (324 nucleotides) under uncultured eukaryote. RNAcentral's name for it is "partial 18S ribosomal RNA". It matches the Rfam family "Eukaryotic small subunit ribosomal RNA", at positions 1470 to 1796 of the family's 1831-position model. The record is from RNAcentral.
CCCUUAGAUGUUCUGGGCCGCACGCGCGCUACACUGAUGCAUUCAACGAGUUUCUUCCUGGUCCGAGAGGAAUGGGUAACCUUUUGAAAGUGCAUCGUGAUAGGGAUAGACUAUUGCAAUUAUUGGUCUUCAACGAGGAAUUCCUAGUAGACGUAGUUCAUCAGACUGCAUCGAUUACGUCCCUGCCCUUUGUACACACCGCCCUUCGCUCCUACCGAUUGAAUGCUCAGGUGAGCCAUUCGGACUUUCAUCAUGCUGGUUUCCAGUUUUGAUGAAGGAAAGUCUUGCGAACCUUAUCAUUUAGAGGAAGGAGAAGUCGUAACA